Molecule: ribosomal RNA, 497 nt
Filed under: uncultured bacterium
Lineage: Bacteria
Description: partial 16S ribosomal RNA
Rfam family: Bacterial small subunit ribosomal RNA
Source: RNAcentral
GAUGAACGCUGGCGGCGUGCCUAAUACAUGCAAGUCGAGCGAACAGACGAGGAGCUUGCUCCUCUGACGUUAGCGGCGGACGGGUGAGUAACACGUGGAUAACCUACCUAUAAGACUGGGAUAACUUCGGGAAACCGGAGCUAAUACCGUAUAAUAUAUUGAACCGCAUGGUUGAAUAGUGAAAGACGGUGUUGCUGUCACUUAUAGAUGGAUCCGCGCCGCAUUAGCUAGUUGGUAAGGUAACGGCUUACCAAGGCAACGAGGCGUAGCCGACCUGAGAGGGUGAUCGCCCACACUGGAACUGAGCCACGGUCCAGACGCCUACGGGAGGCCGCAGUAGGGAAUCUUCCGCAAUGGGCGAAAGCCUGACGGAGCAACGCCGCGUGAGUGAUGAAGGUCUUCGGAUCGUAAAACUCUGUUAUUAGGGAAGAACAAAUGUGUAAGUAACUAUGCACGUCUUGACGGUACCUAAUCAGAAAGCCACGGCUAACUACGUG